This is a long non-coding RNA of Penaeus vannamei (Pacific white shrimp), 721 nucleotides long. RefSeq lists it as uncharacterized. NCBI's taxonomy places the organism in Eukaryota, Metazoa, Arthropoda, Malacostraca, Decapoda, Penaeidae. The record is from RefSeq and is a predicted model, not a curated record.
CCUCCAUCACAGGUUCACUCCAUUACAUCAAAUACAGUGUGAACAACAGAGACGUUCAAAGAUGUUCCGAAUUCUUUAAAGAUGCGUCUUUUCGUCUUGAUGUUGGCCGUCACCUGCCUGUUAGAUGUCAGUCUCGGCAGCCCGAUCCAUCUCAUUGGCAGUAGACAAUAUCGGGGACCUCAUUAUUUAUAUUAUAAUAAGUAUUAUCGCCGCCAUCAUCAUCCCCGGUAUUAUUAUUUCACACCUUGGCAGCCAGGGCACCGCUUCGUUCGGCGCCGACGGAUUGGCCGCCCGAGACCCUAUGUCUUCGAUGACUUCCUCGGAGGCUGAUGACGGAGGCGGGGGCGGUGGGGCGAGUCCAACGCCUUUGCUUCACAUGUGGUUGUUGUUGUUGUUGUGAUUGUUGAUGUUUUAGUUUUGGGUUUUGUAAUUGUUUGUUAUUUGGUUAUCUGAUUAACUUAUUGCAUUUUAAUUUAUUUAUAUGAGUGAUUUAUCUGUUUACAACAAUGUCUCUUUUGGGUAUUUCGUUUAUCCCUCUGUUUAUCAUCUAGUCUAAUCUAUUAUUCUGUAUAUUCAGGUAUUUUAUUAUUUUUAUACUAACUGAAUCAUAAAGUUAUACGUUACCAUGUGUAUAUAUAUUUAUAUCGUUCAAGACCAUAUUCAUUACUGGACAUGCAUUUCAUCACUUUAUUUCAGUCUUCAUAUUAAAGACUUUAAUGUA